UGGGGAAUAUUGGACAAUGGGCGCAAGCCUGAUCCAGCCAUGCCGCGUGAGUGAUGAAGGCCCUAGGGUUGUAAAGCUCUUUCACCGGUGAAGAUAAUGACGGUAACCGGAGAAGAAGCCCCGGCUAACUUCGUGCCAGCAGCCGCGGUAAUACGAAGGGGGCUAGCGUUGUUCGGAUUUACUGGUCGUAAAGCGCACGUAGGCGGACUAUUAAGUCAGGGCUGAAAUCCCGGGGCUCAACCCCGGAACUGCCUUUGAUACUGGUAGUCUUGAGUUCGAGAGAGGUGAGUGGAAUUCCGAGUGUAGAGGUGAAAUUCGUAGAUAUUCGGAGGAACACCAGUGGCGAAGGCGGCUCACUGGCUCGAUACUGACGCUGAGGUGCGAAAGCGUGGGGAGCAAACAGG
This 404-nucleotide ribosomal RNA is filed under the name Actinomycetes bacterium. Its description in RNAcentral is "Actinobacteria bacterium partial 16S ribosomal RNA". It matches the Rfam family "Bacterial small subunit ribosomal RNA", at positions 355 to 776 of the family's 1533-position model. Lineage: Bacteria; Bacillati; Actinomycetota; Actinomycetes. The record is from RNAcentral.